AGAGUUUGAUCCUGGCUCAGGAUGAACGCUAGCGGCAGGCUUAACACAUGCAAGUCGAGGGGCAGCGGGAGUAGCAAUACUUGCCGGCGACCGGCGCAAGGGUGCGUAACGCGUGAGCAACAUGCCCGUAUCAGGGGGAUAAUCCAGGGAAACUUGGUCUAAUACCCCAUAGUAAUCUUAGGAGGCAUCUUUUAAGAUUUAAAGCUUUGGUGGAUACGGAUUGGCUCGCGUGACAUUAGCUAGAUGGUAGGGUAACGGCCUACCAUGGCUACGAUGUCUAGGGGUUCUGAGAGGAAGAUCCCCCACACUGGAACUGAGACACGGUCCAGACUCCUACGGGAGGCAGCAGUGAGGAAUAUUGGACAAUGGAUGGAAAUCUGAUCCAGCCAUGCCGCGUGCAGGAUGACGGCCCUAUGGGUUGUAAACUGCUUUUGUAUGGGAGCAAUAAGCCCUUCGUGAAGGGUGAUGAGAGUACCAUACGAAUAAGCAUCGGCUAACUCCGUGCCAGCAGCCGCGGUAAUACGGAGGAUGCGAGCGUUAUCCGGAUUUAUUGGGUUUAAAGGGUGCGUAGGCGGUUGGAUAAGUCAGCGGUGAAAGUUUUCUGCUUAACAGGAAAAAUGCCGUUGAUACUGUCUGGCUAGAAUAUGGUUGCUGUGAGUGGAAUGUGUGGUGUAGCGGUGAAAUGCUUAGAUAUCACACAGAAUAUCGAUUGCGAAGGCAGCUCACAAAGCCAUUAUUGACGCUGAGGCACGAAAGUGUGGGGAUCAAACAGGAUUAGAUACCCUGUGAGUCCACACUGUAAACGAUGAUAACUCGCUGUCGGCGAUACACAGUCGGUGGCCAAGCGAAAGCGAUAAGUUAUCCACCUGGGGAGUACGACCGCAAGGUUGAAACUCAAAGGAAUUGACGGGGGCCCGCACAAGCGGAGGAACAUGUGGUUUAAUUCGAUGAUACGCGAGGAACCUUACCCGGGCUCGAACGGCUUUAGAAUA
RNAcentral lists this ribosomal RNA (992 nucleotides) under bacterium enrichment culture clone S_2011_SML_4. Its description in RNAcentral is "bacterial SSU rRNA". It matches the Rfam family "Bacterial small subunit ribosomal RNA", at positions 8 to 997 of the family's 1533-position model. The record is from RNAcentral.